GAUGAAGAACGUAGCGAAAUGCGAUACUUGGUGUGAAUUGCAGAAUCCCGGGAACCAUCGAGUCUUUGAACGCAAGUUGCGCCCGAAGCCAUUAGGCCGAGGGCACGCCUGCCUGGGCGUCACACGUCGUUGCCCCCCCAUCUACUCCUUCGGGAUUGCGGGGGGCGGAUGAUGGCCUCCCGUGCGCCUCGUCGCGCGGUUGGCAUAAAUGCCAAGUCCUCGGCGACGCACGCCACGACAAUCGGUGGUUGCGAAACCUCGGUUGCCCGUCGUGUGCGGUCGUCGCGCAUCGAGGGCUCGAAAAAAUUGCCGGGCUCCGGCUCGGCUUUCAACGCGACCCCAGGUCAGGCGGGGUUACCCGCUGAAUUUAAGCAUAUCAAUAAGCGGAGGA
RNAcentral lists this unclassified non-coding RNA (391 nucleotides) under soil metagenome. RNAcentral's name for it is "partial contains 5.8S ribosomal RNA, internal transcribed spacer 2, and large subunit ribosomal RNA". The stretch from base 1 to 122 matches the Rfam family "5.8S ribosomal RNA", at positions 35 to 154 of the family's 154-position model. The record is from RNAcentral.